Molecule: non-coding RNA, 460 nt
Organism: Peromyscus maniculatus bairdii (prairie deer mouse)
Lineage: Eukaryota; Metazoa; Chordata; Mammalia; Rodentia; Cricetidae
Source: RefSeq, a predicted model, not a curated record
CUUCCCACAGCUCCAUAACCUGCCGAAACCGUAACCGCACAACAAAAGCAUAACACUACCCCUCCCCCCCAGUGGAGACUAAACGUCCACCUUCCUUGACUGCCCAUUUUCAUUUUCUGGCAUCUGGAUCCAGGGAACUGUUCAUGGGGAGAAGAUUAAAAACUGUAGAAGAAAACGUGUCAGCGUGGAUAUGAACAAAGGGAAAUAGGCCACAUGGAAGAACUCACAAGUUACAUUACAGCUCGUUCUUAUGAAAAACACCUCUCCUGUUUCUCCAACUGCAGAAGAGAUCGGCAAUAGGGUUUCUUGACUUAAGGAUGGAAACAGAGUCACUCUGGAUAUUUCUAAAGAAAGUUUGGAGGGCAAGACUGGGUGUAGGAAGACUUCCUGAGCCCAAGAGACACUGAGAGCAAACCAAGAAAGAACGGCAGUGGCGUGGCCAGGGUACCAACAUCGGAAA